GAUUCGGGGUGCAGCAGGCGCGAAAACUUUGCAAUACACGAAAGUGUGACAGGGCUAUCCCGAGUGCCAUCCGCUGAGGAAGGCUUUUACCCAGUCUAGAACGCUGGGGGAAUAAGGAGAGGGCAAGUCUGGUGUCAGCCGCCGCGGUAAUACCAGCUCUCCGAGUGGUGUGGAUGUUUAUUGGGCCUAAAGCAUCCGUAGCUGGCUAGGUAAGUCCCUUGUUAAAUCCACCGAAUUAAUCGUUGGAUCGCGGGGGAUACUGCUUGGCUAGGGGACGAGAGAGGCAGACGGUAUUUUUGGGGUAGGGGUGAAAUUCUAUAAUCCCAGGAAGACCACCAGUGGCGAAGGCUGUCUGCUAGAACGCGCCCGACGGUGAGGGUUGAAAGCUGGGGGAGCGAACCGGAUUAGAUACCCGGGUAGUCCCAGCUGUAAACGAUGCAGACUAGGUGUUUGGACGGCCACGUGCCGUUCUAGUGCCGCAGGGAAGCUGUUAAGUCUGCCGCCUGGGGAGUACGAUCGCAAGAUUGAAACUUAAAGGAAUUGGCGGGGGAGCACAAUCACUAGUGAAU
RNAcentral lists this ribosomal RNA (569 nucleotides) under uncultured archaeon. Its description in RNAcentral is "bacterial SSU rRNA". It matches the Rfam family "Archaeal small subunit ribosomal RNA", at positions 319 to 893 of the family's 1478-position model. The record is from RNAcentral.